AUGGGCACCUCCGUCGACGUCGUCCCCGAUUGGGUGGGCGACUUGGGCAAGUCCGUCGGCCCCGUCGACUACGGCUGCGUGCGCCGGUGCCGUCACCGCCGCCUCGCCACCUACCUCUGGCUCCACGGCUUCCGCGACGCCCUGCGAGGGCUGCUCAACGAGACGGACGCGUACAUGAGCGUCAUCCACCUGUCGCGGCUGGUGCAGCAGGGCCUCUGGGACGACGCCAUCGCCUACGUCUCCCGCUUCCUGCGCCCGGUCACGCAUCCGCAGAGCGACGAGGCCCAGGUGCUCCUCCACUUCCUCAUGCACCACGCCGCCUUCGCCAGCAUGGUCGCCGGCGUGCCCGACCGCAACCUCAAGUAUUUCAACCACAAGUACAACACACGGUACCUCAAGCACGAUGACUCCGUCUCCUUCGACUGCCUCAGGAUCCGCUCCAUCGUCCUCUCCAUUCUCCAUUCGGAGCAAGUCAGAUCCUCGCUGGACUGGGAGCGCGUUCGUUGCAAGGCGUCUCAAAUAGUCCAACACUUGGCUUAUAAGGCUCCAGAGUUGAGAAACGUGGCCCUAUUGCCGGCCGGCCCGAUGAUGCCGCACGAUGUGCUUCCCAUCGGAUUCAGGUCCCGUCAGAGGCGUCACGUCAAGGAACAAGACCUGCCAGCACCUAAAACUCUGGCCAAGAUCUAUCUUAGGACCAAAAAGGGGCUGCGUUCGUUGACUCGCAGUCGCAAGUUAAAUAGUGGAUUGACAGACAAGACAAGGAAGUGGUUUGUAGAUCUUAUUGAUGAAAGUUUGCAAGCUGGUCUGGAAGUUCAAUCAAGUGGGAAGGAAGGUGUUCCUGGUCUUACAACCUCGUACACCAUGCCGAAUACCUCGACAGAUCUUACUAAAAACUCUGGGUCUGGGACCUCUUCAUUGACAAAUUCAGGUGCUCCAGGUUUGCAGACUAUGUCCACAUUGACAGUUCCUGCUAAAAUAUCCGGUGCUCCUGUUGCUGCAGUCUCACAGACUGUUAAUUUGACAAGCCAUGCUGAAAACUCUGGAUCUCGGCAGUGA
This 1056-nucleotide ribosomal RNA is filed under the name Triticum aestivum (bread wheat). RNAcentral's name for it is "partial small subunit ribosomal RNA". Lineage: Eukaryota; Viridiplantae; Streptophyta; Magnoliopsida; Poales; Poaceae. The record is from RNAcentral.